Non-coding RNA from Hypoxylon fragiforme, 99 nucleotides. NCBI's taxonomy places the organism in Eukaryota, Fungi, Ascomycota, Sordariomycetes, Xylariales, Hypoxylaceae. The record is from the annotation of a RefSeq genome assembly.
GCUAUCUUGGCCGAGUGGUCUAAGGCGGUAGAUUUAAGUCAUUUCCAUGCAUAAACUCUACUAUCGAAAGAUUCGCAGGUUCGAACCCUGCAGAUAGCA